Molecule: non-coding RNA, 364 nt
Organism: Parasteatoda tepidariorum (common house spider)
Lineage: Eukaryota; Metazoa; Arthropoda; Arachnida; Araneae; Theridiidae
Source: RefSeq, a predicted model, not a curated record
UAAGAUUUUAGUGUAUAAAUAAUAGUUAGUGUACCUUUGCGAGUGUAUAAAUAAUUAUUUUAAGUAAAAUCACAUUUAUUUGAUAGGAACCUGAAACAAAAGUUGAAUCUGUUGCUUUGGUUACUCAUCAUUAUGAGCAACAAGAAGAUAUGGCAAGGGCUUUGGAACGAAGGAUCAUAAGCAAAUCUACCUGUGUGCAUACAAGAUGAUUCAACCAAGCAAGCUACCAUGUCUGACUACAAUUCUGUCUUCACUGUUUCAUCUGGUUGAUGAAGACCUUGAAAUCAAAGCUUUUUAUGCUGGGCAUGUGUUGGGUGCAGCAAUGUUUUUGAUAAAAGUAGGAUCACAAUAAGUAGUCUACACA